GAGUAACACGUGACUAACCUACCCUGAAGUGGGGAAUAACCUCGGGAAACCGGGGCUAAUACCGCAUAACAUCGCGAGGGGAAGAUCCUUGUGAUCAAAGGAGCAAUUCGCUUUAGGAGGGGGUCGCGGCUGAUUAGCUAGUUGGUGAGGUAACGGCUCACCAAGGCAAAGAUCAGUAUCCGGCCUGAGAGGGCGCACGGACACACUGGAACUGAAACACGGUCCAGACUCCUACGGGAGGCAGCAGUGGGGAAUUUUGCGCAAUGGGGGAAACCCUGACGCAGCAACGCCGCGUGGAGGAUGAAGUCCCUUGGGAUGUAAACUCCUUUCGAUCGGGACGAUAAUGACGGUACCGGAAGAAGAAGCACCGGCUAACUCUGUGCCAGCAGCCGCGGUAAUACAGAGGGUGCAAGCGUUGUUCGGAAUUAUUGGGCGUAAAGGGCGCGUAGGCGGUGCGGUAAGUCCGCAGUGAAAUCUCUGGGCUCAACUCAGAGUCUGCUGUGGAAACUGCCGUGCUAGAGUGUGGGAGAGGUGAGUGGAAUUCCCGGUGUAGCGGUGAAAUGC
RNAcentral lists this ribosomal RNA (564 nucleotides) under uncultured bacterium. RNAcentral describes it as "bacterial SSU rRNA". It matches the Rfam family "Bacterial small subunit ribosomal RNA", at positions 108 to 689 of the family's 1533-position model. The record is from RNAcentral.